Long non-coding RNA from Procambarus clarkii (red swamp crayfish), 1358 nucleotides. RefSeq lists it as uncharacterized. NCBI's taxonomy places the organism in Eukaryota, Metazoa, Arthropoda, Malacostraca, Decapoda, Cambaridae. The record is from RefSeq and is a predicted model, not a curated record.
GACCGGGAUCUUAUCCAUCGACCACCAAAGAACUGUAUUUUGUGAUAUGGGUGCUUAAAACAACAAAAUCAUGAAUUGUCAAGAAAUUAAUUUAAAUUUACAACAUAAACUUGGAGAACAAGUGUAUUAUCUCGGGUGAUAUAAUGCCGAACAGAUUAUGCAGAUUGAUAUUUUAAAACAAAGACCACUGAAACCUAUGGUCUUUAUAGCUAAUAUUUUACCUAGUGACAGCAAAAUAUAUAUGGAGCAUUGGGUGUGUGUAUAUACUUAGACAUGCUCACUCGCCAUUUAUUCUUUUUUGACAGUUUUGCUCUAUCGCCAGAUUUUAAUAGUCCUUAUUUUAUAAAGUUUAUUGAAAAACUUAAUGUUAGAGAAGUGCAUACAUCAUUGUAUAGAAUCUAGAGUGAUUUUAGUCUCACUUGUGGAUUAUAUUGCAUCAUGUUUGUACAUAAAGUUACCCACCAGGGAUUAAAUUGAACCUUGCUAUAUUUGAAAAAUGUAUUUUCUAAAGUACUUUUAGACUUAAAUGAUAAGCGUGUUCUAUCAUACGCCAGACAUUAUUUUCCAAUGAAGCAGCCUUGUGAGAGAACGUUUUGCAGAGGCCUGGCUAUUGGGUCUUAUCAAUGGUGCAAACGAUUCUUGUGUGAGACACAACCACACGUUGAUGCUUAAUUAUCAUUUAUAUAAAAUAAGAUAUUUACCUAUCAUAUAAUAAGUACAGUGGAGACGUAGAAAGUGUAAAGAGGGUGGGGAAUGUGGGGUUUCUUGCCCCUCCCAUAAUAUUAAGGAGGGGGGGGAUGCGCGGGGUCUCCGGCCUAUAAAAUCCCGAGACCAGCCAAGAGCCUUCACCAUACAGAACACUGGUGUUUGAGAACAUGGGCAACCCACAACAGCAACAAGAUGCCCGUCCAAAGGUGGUCACCCUUGAGGCUCCUGCUAAUUUUACUGGGUUUGUUCACAUUUGAAGAGAUGUGAUUCUACAGGGUAGUUCUAUGCUGGAAAGUUUGCUGCUAAGUGGCGCAGCUAGAGUCACCUGUUGUGACCACCAGAAGCUCAACCCCGAAAAGACAGAGGAGGGAGUCAGUUCCCCCACCGAGGGAGGGGAGACCACUCAUAAUAAGGAUGAUGACAAGAAUUCUCCUACAAAGAAAUUCAAAUUAAGAGAUGAAGAGAUAGAGGAACAGGUCAAGAUGGAGGUCAUCUGAGACGAUGUGGUAGAGAAGGCACUUGUCUCUGAAGAUGUGGUUGAACAAGCAAAACGUUCAAAGGUAGAGAAUGAACCAGAGAGGGAGCAGACCGAUAUAUCAGAAUAACAACAAUGUCAGCUUUAUUAGGGACUUUGUAUAAUAGUGCAAUUA